CUCAUCACAAGUCAAUGUGGUGAGAUUAGGGAAAAGUAAAUUACAAAAGUUUUAGAGUGUCAUCACAACAGUUUCAGGACACUUACAGAUAGAGAUCAGCGCGCACGGGGCAACAAGAGGCCCAAUCCUAUAGCUGUUUGACAUCAAAUGAACAUAGGCCUAGCAAAAAGGGCCCAUGCUAACAAGCAAGGUCAAAAGCCAAACUUAGCCCCGCCCACAACAUUUGAGGUCAGGAAGUUGGGUCUGGACUUGAUCCCUUGUGGAGCAACUAUGCUCGAAUAAGAGCUGGUAGGACCAAUCACAUUGUCAGGGCGGGCUUCAUAUGAUGAUGGACAGAUGAUCAAAAGCAACACAAUGAUGUACGCGAGCAGACCGGGGGGGGGCUGUAACGUCAUUAGCGUUUUCCAAACUGCCGGGGCUAUUGGCUAUUAGCUACCGCAGCUGACACCAGCGGUAGCUAGCAGUUGAGUUCUGAUGACAACUAUGCGUCUCUCAACAUUCGUCACAUACUCCCUAGCUCUGAUUGGUUGUAGGUCUAUUCCGUUGAGUGCAGAGGCAUUUUAGGAUGAAACGUGCCCCACAAUCAGACUAGUAGAGCAAUAUCAGACUCUUAUUCUGACUAGAAUCUGAGUAUGACACCGUCAGCCUAGGCUGGAUCCUUCCUCUAGCACACAGCUAUCAAUAUGUAGAGCAAACUACACCCUCUGUCCUCAGACCCUCCAUUCAAAUAAACAAAAACUCCCCCCCAAAAAAUAGUUGAUGAAGGAAAAAAUGGGCAGAGCCAGGGUGUCUUUAAGACAAUUGAAAUGUUAUAAUAAUAGAUAGAACUUGUCCCAAGUUGUAAUAAAUAGUAAUUAUCCUUUAAAUUCAGACUACAGAUGCCUUGUUUUCCUUCUUUAACUCAUGCUCACAUAGUUGGACAUUAGGUCUAGCUUCUCUUUUCCUUAUUUUGAAACCAUUUAAAAACCUCUUUGGCAGGGCUCUCUUCCCUUAACUUUCAUUUAUGUGGCUUCCUUUCUGUCAACAACAAGACAUUGUCUUUCUGCAAGAGAGGAGACCGACUAAUGGUUGAUUUAAAAUUGUCACCUCACUGGGAAAUAACACAUGAGAAGGGGCAUUCAUUGCACAUCACCGCGUGUGUGUGUGUGUGUGUGUGUGUGUGGUGUGUGUCAUAAUACAAAGCAAAGCCAUGGCCUUUAACAUAGGAACAGGAUGUAACACCACAAAUGUAACAGCAGUCGCAGGGGGCAGUAAAUGCACCACGCGGCUUCUAAUGGAUCUUUUUUCUGCUAGUGUUUUUGUUCAAAAGGACAAUUUGAGGAACUUCACAGAGGACCUGUGGUCUAUCUGUUGGAAAUAUAAUGUAGCUGGAAGCACCAGGGUGGGCUCGGUCCAUGCAGGCUCAUGUGCACACAGACUAAUCCUCUUCAUUAAAAAACAGCAGGUGUGUGCAAAUGCUGUUAACCCCCGCAACCCCUAAAACUCCCGAAACACUCUCCACUCCACUUUCAUCUCGCAAGAUCAGAGAUGGGACGAAGGGGAGUGUGGGCACAGAAAAAGUCCAUCUUAACUACUCAUUAUGUCAGUAUUUCAAAAGUAUUUGAUGUAUUGUUCCUGCGGUACCUGGCAGCCAUUGAUUUCCAUUUAUUUUGUAGGGAAUGAAAAAUCACACAAACUAUCAAAAUGCUAAAAUAAGUCACUUGGAUGGAUCAUGCAUCUCAACGAAAGGCAAGUUUUCUUUUAGAGUUUGCUUGAGUUUACUGAUUUUUACAUUGUACAGAAGUGAAUAGAAACUAAUGGCUGUUUUGAAAAAACAAUGUUUAAUUAAGAGUAAAACUAUUCAACAAAGAGAAGAUCAUUUCCCUCGGCCCAUGUGAAUACAUUUCCAAUCCCGGUUGUGACAUUAACCCAUAUUUCUGCGGAAUAAGCAGCCCUCAUUUUCAAGAUAUUUAAAACGUGUAGUGGCAAUGGAAAAUGUGAAAUUCUCUAACCAUCGCUAGUUUUAAAAAAAGAAGAAAGAAAGAAAAAGCAGCCUGAUGAGGAGAUGAGAGAGAGUGUAGAAGUGGAGGACUUUACAGUGCAGCUUCUCAUAUGAAUGGAAGGAAGGCUUAUCUGAGGUAGCAUUUGGAAGUAAGCUGCCAACCUGACCGGGGGGGGGGGGCUUAGCUCAGCCGGCUCAUGUUACAGAUGUGGGGGUGGGGGGUGAAGAGAGAGACUGAAUUUCUUGUUGCUGAGACAAGGGAAGGGGGAGGGAGGCUGACCCCUGACUUGCCCAGCUUGGAUCUCAGGAAUAAGGAGGGUGUAGCAAGAGAGAGAGAGAGAGAGAGAGACCUUUGAUGGCUCUAUCCCACUGGCAGUAGCUCCUUACCCAAACUCUCCUGCUAGCUCAACAACACAGGAAACUUUAGCCUACAAGACAGAUCAUUUUCAGCAAUGCCUGCUGUAAGUGCUUCCCUUGUAACUAAGUACAUUUACUCAAGUACUAUACAAGUACACAUUUGAGGUAAUUGUACUUUUCUCGAGUCUUAACUUUUCAUGCCACUUUCUACUUCUACUCGGCUACAUUUCAGAGAGAAAUAUUGCACUCUUUACUCCACUGCAUUCAUCUGACGGCUUUAGUUACUAGUUACUUUAGUUACUAGUUACUUUAGUUACUCCACUGCAUUCAUCUGACGGCUUCAGUUACUAGUUACUUUAGUUACUAGUUACUUUAGUUACUCCACUGCAUUCAUCUGACGGCUUCAGUUACUAGUUACUUUAGUUAUUAGUUACUUUAGUUACUCCGCUACAUUCAUCUGACUGCUUUAGUUACUUUAGUUACUCGGCUACAUUCAUCUGACGGCUUAGUUACUAGUUACUUUACACAACACAUGCAGUUUAAAGAAUACAGUGUCUUAUUAUAAAUUAAACCACCCAACAAUAUAUCAGUGUGCUACAACUGACGAUGAGGAGAAGUGAAGGAUCUUAAUACUUCUUCCUGUCGGGCUGUCUGUUGACAGACGUUACCGAUACACAACACAGCUGUUCUGUUACUUCCCCUCUGCGAGGUGCAGACAGGUGGAGGUGAGACACCCCCGCAGACAGGGGUAGAGUUAACAGGACACUUCACUGAGAGGAAGAAAAGGAAGAACAUAAUAAGCCGUCACCAGACGUCUAGAGAUUGAUCUGUGGCCGGUCAAUAGCUGUUGCCAGGAAACGGUGUCCUGUGUCCAUCGCUCACCUCCUCACCAUCAGGGUUGGGGGUGGGGGUGGGGGUUUUGGCGGACGUAGCUAAUCAGUGUUAAAAGCACCCCCCCACCUCUUCUGUUCUCUCCCGUUCUUCCAUUGGUCCUCUGGGCACAUCAGUGCUCAGACAGCCUAGUGUCUGGACAGGAUUUAGAAAAUGUCGACUCAUGCCACUCGACACAGCAUUGUGUACGGAGAUCUUGUUUGUCGACCCUCCUUUUCUCCUCCGUGACUUCCACGCAGCAGUCCCACUGGGAGUCAACCACUUCAAAAGCUUAAGUAACCACUCAGAAGUUGAAAAAAAAAUGUCCAGUGGACCUGACUUUUUCUCUUUACUUGAAAUGAUUGAGCAGCUUGAAAGAUUCUCUGUGGGGGGGGGGGCACUGACAGGGAUUUGUUGUCUUAGGACAGGAAGCAGAAGAGAAAAAUAUUGGAACGCCAGGAAAGAAAGCUGUCCGCGCUGAUUGAUGCCUGUUUUGUGUGUGUGUGUGUGUGUUGUGUGUGUGUCGAGGUGUUUAGUUAAUCAGCUCUACUCUCCAUAAGCGAAGGCCGGUUUCCUGACUGUAAAUCUCCCACACUCUCUCUAUCACCCCCCCCCCCCCCCCCCCCCCCCCCACACACACACACACACACACUCAGCCCAGCCCUGCCCCUAAGCCCGAGGGGAUCAUAAUAACAACAAUGGCCUUCUCUCUCUUUCUCUCUCUCUCUCUCCCUCAGAAACACAUACUCUCUUUCUCCUCCCCCUAUUUUCACUCUCCCUAAUACACACACACACACACACACACACACACAUUAUUGUCUUCCCCAACCUCACUUUCCUCCUCCCCCCUCCUUAUAAAACUAGUCCAGGCCAAGGUCCAGCCUCACACAGCACAGCCUGUUUUUAGAUCCACCAGCAUGUGACAAUGUGGAAGGCCUGUACCUGAGUUCUGGGAUGUUAACACGGCCCUGCUCCUGUUGGCGUGCGUCGCCUUGACGUAACGUUUAGGUAAGGUCAGGGCACCGCUGAGCUCGUCUGAGCUGUCAUCUCUCUCAGGAUGUGUUUCUGUAAACACUGCAUGUUAAGCGUUCCUUGUUCAGCCCUGUGGUUUUUGGCUUUUUUUUGUCCUUUAUUUUAAUGAACAUCUGUUUAAAAAUCUCCACAAUCCCUCAGAAUUCACGUGUGCUCCCAGCCGUGUCUGUGCUCUCCACUCUGUGCACUUUUUGUGUUUCAGCUCCCUGCGGUCACUGUUUGCCUGCACUCCCUAAUAACGGCAAGCUUUAAAAAGUCAUUGCAUCAUCCCCGUGCAAAGUAGCAAAGCAGAUCAAGAAAUAUCUUCAUAAACAGGACAAAGGAAGAGAAAAAGAUCUGUCCAAUGUGACUGUGACUGUGUUCUGUUUCGGUUCCACUUGGGUCAACCUUGUCGCUUUUGAUGGCUGGAACCCAAAAGGUUUGUGGGUUGUCCACAUGCUUCUCUCUUUUUCCCCCCAGAGUGCAUCUCACCUUGCAUUGACCCCCAUCCACUCUGAAACCACUCCUUUUAGCACCACUCGGCGAACUCAACUGCACACAGGGGGGAUGAGACGGGAAAAGAUGGCUGACAAAUGACUUUUCAGCAUCUGUGGCCUGGAUGAAGGCAUCGGAUCAGCUCCCAUGGUGCUCUACUCAAACAUUGGAAAACUGCUUUCAUCCACUAGCCGCAGCUACAGUAGAGAGUAGAUUCGGAUGGAUUCAGAUAUUUAUUAUACUGACCGUCAAUAGUGGAACUUGGCAUCUCACCCCCGCCUCUCUCUCAUUACUACCUGAGUAACGGUUCAGUGACUUUGUGAAAAAUAACCCUAACCACCCGUGACUGGGAUACGAAAAACACCCAAAAAAAGAAAGCAGCAGUCAAUAAAAAAACACCUGAGGUUAUUGUUUAUCUUUGAUAAUUGUCUUAUUUUGAUUUGUUUUUGUGCAUUUCUUUCUCUCUCCAAACUUGAUAGGAUAUUCUUUUGUUAAUAACAUUCCAAUGCUAUUUUUUUUUUUGUUGAUUGGUUGUUAGUGGGUUUUUUUUUUUUCUGUAGAAAAUGUAAGAUUUUAUACAUUUGUGUUGUUGUGUGUUCACCUCUAGUUGAGUGUGUUAACAAGCCAUGCUGGACAUGUACACAUUAAAAAUUGCUCUGAAAAUA
Molecule: long non-coding RNA, 5379 nt
Organism: Etheostoma spectabile (orangethroat darter)
Lineage: Eukaryota; Metazoa; Chordata; Actinopteri; Perciformes; Percidae
Exons: 3
Source: RefSeq, a predicted model, not a curated record